GAUUUGCUGAAGGAGGCAGAGGCAGGAGGA
RNAcentral lists this non-coding RNA (30 nucleotides) under Cricetulus griseus (Chinese hamster). Lineage: Eukaryota; Metazoa; Chordata; Mammalia; Rodentia; Cricetidae. RNAcentral also lists the same sequence under 1 other name. The record is from RNAcentral.